CAUGAAAGUGAAGCAGCUAAGUGGAAUUCAGCCAUCAUUAACUUUACUAUAUACACCUGUUCAUUUCCUAUUGUGACAUGUCAAAACUCUGUGAGAAAGGCCUAUGGAGAUAAUUAAAUCCAAUGACAUAAUCCCUGGCGGCCCACGGACUCAGGAGGAAGUGGUUCAGGAACAGUCUAAUCCAGCCAUCUCCGGAUAUGGGACACUCUCACCAUGCCGCUCCACUGGGCCUUUGUAUCAGCAGACCGAGGAGCAAAAAAUAGAGGACUUGUGAAACAUUAACCAGACGGAGGAGAAGUGACAAUGAUGAAAUGAGCCUGCAGGGAUGAUGCCGUUGUUAUCUAGCAAUGGGACGAUUGUUCCUGAGCCUGUAAAGUGCAGUGGAGUGAGCUGAGGGGUCACAGUGGACUUUCUGACAGGCUUUAUCUUCUGGAUGAGACAGGGGCUCAUUAUGCUGAUAUACAAGACCAUAUUAGACAAAUGUACGACUUUCAAACUAAAGAGACAAAAGUAAAUGCAUUGGAUUUUAUGCCUUUUCUGAACAAACAGGAUGUCACUUGCAGCAGUGAGACAGUUUAAUUCUUUAGGAGCAUCUGAGUUGACAAGAAAGGAUGUAUAGC
Molecule: long non-coding RNA, 620 nt
Organism: Perca flavescens (yellow perch)
Lineage: Eukaryota; Metazoa; Chordata; Actinopteri; Perciformes; Percidae
Exons: 3
Source: RefSeq, a predicted model, not a curated record